RNAcentral lists this ribosomal RNA (271 nucleotides) under uncultured bacterium. RNAcentral describes it as "partial 16S ribosomal RNA". It matches the Rfam family "Bacterial small subunit ribosomal RNA", at positions 524 to 794 of the family's 1533-position model. The record is from RNAcentral.
AACGUGGGAGGCAAGCGUUAUCCGGAGUUACUGGGCGUAAAGCGUGCGUAGGCGGGUCGGUAAGUGGGUGGUGAAAGCGCCGGGCUAAACCGGGCGAGGUCCAUUCAGACUGCCAACCUAGAGGCGGAUAGAGGGGUGCGGAAUUCCGGGUGUAGCGGUGAAAUGUGUAGAGAUCCGGAGGAACACCAGUGGUGCAAACGGCGCCCUGGGUCCGAACUGACGCUGAGGCACGAAAGCGUGGGGAGCGAACGGGAUUAGAUACCCCAGUAGU